RNAcentral lists this ribosomal RNA (403 nucleotides) under Verrucomicrobiota bacterium. Its description in RNAcentral is "Verrucomicrobia bacterium partial 16S ribosomal RNA". It matches the Rfam family "Bacterial small subunit ribosomal RNA", at positions 355 to 776 of the family's 1533-position model. The record is from RNAcentral. Lineage: Bacteria; Pseudomonadati; Verrucomicrobiota.
UGGGGAAUAUUGCACAAUGGGCGCAAGCCUGAUGCAGCAACGCCGCGUGAGCGAUGAAGGUUUUCGAAUCGUAAAGCUCUGUCCUAUGGGAAGAUAAUGACGGUACCAUAGGAGGAAGCCCCGGCUAACUACGUGCCAGCAGCCGCGGUAAUACGUAGGGGGCGAGCGUUGUCCGGAAUUACUGGGCGUAAAGGGUUCGCAGGCGGCAUGGCAAGUCCGAUGUAAAAGGCGAAGGCUCAACCUUCGUAAGCAUCGGAAACUGUCAAGCUUGAGUGAAGGAGAGGCAAGUGGAAUUCCUAGUGUAGCGGUGGAAUGCGUAGAUAUUAGGAGGAAUACCGGUGGCGAAGGCGACUUGCUGGACUUCAACUGACGCUGAGGAACGAAAGCGUGGGUAGCAAACAGG